GCACGGGUGAGUAACACGUGAAUUACAUGCCCUUCAGUGGGGAAUAGCCCGGGGAAACCCGGAUUAAUACCCCAUGGUACCGCAAGGUUAAAGGUGGCCAGCAAUGGCUGCCGCUGAAGGAUUGGUUCGCGCCCUAUCAGCUUGUUGGUGAGGUAACGGCUCACCAAGGCUACGACGGGUACCUGGUCUGAGAGGACGAUCAGGCACACUGGAACUGAGACACGGUCCAGACACC
RNAcentral lists this ribosomal RNA (235 nucleotides) under uncultured bacterium. Its description in RNAcentral is "partial 16S ribosomal RNA". It matches the Rfam family "Bacterial small subunit ribosomal RNA", at positions 100 to 339 of the family's 1533-position model. The record is from RNAcentral.